Long non-coding RNA from Amphimedon queenslandica, 800 nucleotides. RefSeq lists it as uncharacterized. The transcript has 4 exons. NCBI's taxonomy places the organism in Eukaryota, Metazoa, Porifera, Demospongiae, Haplosclerida, Niphatidae. The record is from RefSeq and is a predicted model, not a curated record.
UGAAACUCCUUUUCGUUGAGAUAAACUGUGAAAAUCAAACAAAUGUCACCUCUGUCACUGACUGCACUAAACUUGCCAGCAUUCUUAUAUCUUAUGGCUAUUUUAAAGUCAGUGUAGCAAGGCUUAAAGUAAAAAAACAAGUCAAGAGUUUUCUAGCAGCAACAUAAAGUUGAGAUUCUGCUUUUUCCCAGCUAAUAAUCUACGAGGCUGAGCCCUUGAAUGUUUUACAUUGUUUCUAGUUUAUACAUUGCUAUGGUAACAUUGGAUAUUUAACCCUUUAUAUACUGUUCCGGUACUAUAACACUGCUACCGGUGCCGGUGCAGUAGCCACUGCGAUAAAUUAAUUGAUAAAUUACUGAAUUUCUCCUCCUCUUGUAAGCAGUUUGGCAAAGACGCUCAAGAUAUAAGCAGCAAACGUAAACUCAAUUCCCUAGCUCUAUCAAGACACACCCAGUUAUUGGAGAUACUAGAGAUACCACAAUUAAUAGAGACAUGUGUACGUAAUGGCUAUUAUGAGGAAGCACUGGAACUGAGUGCACACGUGAAAAGAAUGGAAAAGAAACACAACAACAUACCUAUCAUUAAAAAUAUUGCGUCUGAUAUAGAGCGCUGCUCUAAUCUGAUGUUGAUGGAGUUGAUCCAGCAAUUGCAAGGAAGCAUACAGCUACCGUCUUGUCUCAGGUUGGUCGGUUUGCUGAGGAGGAUGGACGUUUUCAACGAAUCUCAAUUGAGACUCAAGUUUCUACAGUCGAGGGAUUACUGGUUGCAGUCAGUCCUGUCUUUAAUACCUAAGGAUGAUC